Molecule: ribosomal RNA, 463 nt
Filed under: uncultured bacterium
Lineage: Bacteria
Description: partial 16S ribosomal RNA
Rfam family: Bacterial small subunit ribosomal RNA
Source: RNAcentral
GAUGAACGCUGACAGAAUGCUUAACACAUGCAAGUCUUUGGCGAAGCUGUGCUUGCACAGCCUAGCCAAGGCGGACGGGUGAGUAACGCGUAAGGAACUUGCCCUGCAGUCAGGGAUAACAGACGGAAACGACUGAUAAGACCUGGUAAAGUCAGGCGGACUCAUGUCCAGCCUGAUGAAAAGAGAUGCUGCAGGAGAGCCUUGCGUCCUAUUAGCUUGUUGGUGGGGUAACGGCCCACCAAGGCGAUGAUAGGUAGCCGGCCUGAGAGGGUGGACGGCCACAAGGGAACUGAGAUACGGCCCUUACUCCUACGGGAGGCAGCAGUGGGGAAUAUUGGACAAUGGGGGCAACCCUGAUCCAGCAAUUCUGUGUGCACGAUGAAGGUUUUCGGAUUGUAAAGUGCUUUCAGCAGGGAAGAAAAAAAUGACGGUACCUGCAGAAGAAGCGACGGCUAAAUACGUG